CAAUAGCGUAUAUUUAAGUUGUUGCAGUUAAAAAGCUCGUAGUUGGAUUUCGGGUAGGAUUUGCCGGUCCGUCUUUGAGAUGUGUACUGGUAAGUCCUAUCUUCUUGUCGGGGACCAGCUCCUGGGCUUCACUGUCCGGGACUGGGAGCCGACGAAGUUACUUUGAGUAAAUUAGAGUGUUCAAAGCAAGCCUACGCUCUGAAUAUAUUAGCAUGGAAUAACACGAUAGGACUCUGGCUUAUCUUGUUGGUCUGUGAGACCAGAGUAAUGAUUAAGAGGGACAGUCGGGGACAUUCGUAUUUCAUUGUCAGAGGUGAAAUUCUUGGAUUUCUGAAAGACGAACCACUGCGAAAGCAUUUACCAAGGAUGUUUUCAUUA
This 378-nucleotide ribosomal RNA is filed under the name uncultured eukaryote. RNAcentral's name for it is "partial 18S ribosomal RNA". It matches the Rfam family "Eukaryotic small subunit ribosomal RNA", at positions 592 to 975 of the family's 1831-position model. The record is from RNAcentral.